CUUGGCUACAUUCUUUUCUCUCGCCACCUAGCCCCUCUUCUCUUCCAGGUUUCCAAAAUGCCUUUCCAGGCUAGAACCCAGGUUGUGGUCUGCUGGCCGGACACAACAAUUGGCGAACCAACGCGGGACUGAGAAACGGCAAAGGAUUUUUGGAAGAGACGCUGCUGGUUCGGAGCUCCAUAAAAUAAAGGAUAAGGGAAAUUCAUACCGGAGAAGUGCUCUUCAGGACUAUGACCAAGCAGUGACAGGCUGAGGCUACCAUCCUGUCAUUAGAAGAGAUGGUGGAGUUGGAAGAGAAAGCGCUGAAUUUCCACUCCUGCAUGCACAGGGUUUUGCUGUGUAACCAAAGCUGCCUUCACACUCUCAUAAGCCAGGCUGCCUUGAAUUCAGAGGUCCUCUUGCAUCAGCAUCCCAGAGGCUUAAGACAUACACUGGCUUCUAACAAACUGAAAAAAAAAAUCCACGUGCCGGGAAGGGAGCUCACUGCACACCACAGGGCCCUUAGAAACCGAAGCACAAGGCGACGCAUGGGAAACUUCAAACAGGCAGCUUCAAGAUAGACUUAAUUUUUCAUGAUUCUCCCAAAGCCAGU
This 592-nucleotide long non-coding RNA is filed under the name Mus musculus (house mouse). RNAcentral's name for it is "predicted gene, 44206". Lineage: Eukaryota; Metazoa; Chordata; Mammalia; Rodentia; Muridae. The record is from RNAcentral.